Molecule: long non-coding RNA, 1596 nt
Filed under: Carassius auratus (goldfish)
Lineage: Eukaryota; Metazoa; Chordata; Actinopteri; Cypriniformes; Cyprinidae
Description: lncRNA (ENSCARG00000027790.1)
Source: RNAcentral
GAUUGUUUGCAGAUAAUGCUGUUCUUCUUUUUCAGAAGUUUUUGGGGAGCCAACCCUCACAAACCUUCCUAAAAACUAAAAGAGCUAUUACUGAGUCUCAGCGACUCUUGCCACGAUCAGCUCUUCCCAGGUACAUUUGUUUACUCAUCAAAUGCUCUGGUCUGAAUCUUACUUUAAAUUAACUUAAUUAUAUGUUUAAUGAGCAAUAUUGCUCAUUGCACACAGAGUAAGAUUAUCUUGUUUCACAGAAGAGAAGGAAGACCAAGGAAAUGAUUUGCUCAGGAUGAGAAAUGAAGAUGGUCAUCUUGUGCUCAAGCAAACAGAAGUCCUCUGAUGAUCUCAUCAAACCAAACGAGGGGUUUUGACCAAGUGAUGCUCUUGAAAGGACUGAAAGAAGAGGAUGUGGUAAAUUGUCUUCAGAGAAAAAGCUUCUCAAAAGAUCUUAAAACAGCUUGAAGAAUGGUCUGGGAUCUUAGGACUGGGAGAUCUCACUGGCACCCAGUUAACCUCCAUAGAGAACAUUUAUCAGAAGCGCUGUCUGGGCAGGGCAAGAAACAUCAUCAAGGAUGCCUCUCACCCUAACCAUGGACCUAUCACCCUCCAUCCAUCCGGCAGGCGUUACAGGAGCCUACGCUCUCUAACUAGUAGACUCAGGAAGAGCUUCUUCCCCGAGGCUGUGACACCCCUGAACACCACACCACCAAUCUAUCCUGCACCUGCUCUUUUACUGCACUGGUCACAGUACUUUACAUACAUGUAUUGCACUACUCAUAUUUUGCACAGACUGCACAUAGUUAAAUCCAUUACACUAUAAACUGUCUAAAGCUGUUACUGUACAAGCACAGUAAACUAUUUCUACAAUAAAUAUAAUUGCACUACUAUUAUUUUGCAUAUAAUAAAUUGUUAAACUAUACUUUUGCACACUCAUUCAACUGUAUUUAUUACCACUGUUCUCAAGUUCCUGCUAUUCAUAAUGUAUAUAUAAUUCUUCUUUGCUCUGUUCAUAAUGUACAUACAAUCCCUACAUUAAAUUCAUAUUUAUAUUCUGUAUAUACUCUGAUCAAUAUUGUAUAUAGCAACUCCACUGUAAAUUCUGUAUAUCAUAGCUUUACUUACUCUGCACUUUUAUGUAUAUAAAACACUAUAUUCUUGCACUUCUGGUUAGAUGCUAACUGCAUUUCAUUAGCUCUGUACUUGUACUCUGCAUAAUGACAAUAAAGUUGAAUCUAAUCUAAUCUAAUCUAAUCUAAUCUUCUGGCUGAGAACAAGCUACACCACAUCAGUGCUGGAUAUCAACCAAAAGCUGUUUCCAGACACGAGAGAAGAUCACGAUGAAACCAGUUUUUGAUGUGUUGAUAAGGAAUCAUUAUUUUCUGAAACAGUAUCAAAUGUCUUAUAUGUAUCACAUGAUCUGUAUCACAGUUGACUGGAUGGGACUGUGACUUUUAAGGACAUUUCAUCACUCAUCUGUGUGAACUGAUUAAUAUAUGAGGUUAAUGUAUUUUUGAUUAUGAAUAAUUAUUUUCCUUGAAUCUUAUUUGUCUUGAUGCUACUUUAUCAUCUUUAUAGUAUAUGCUUCAAUAAAAUGAAUAUGAC